UGGGUCCUGCGUAAUGGACACCUACGAAUCGUGUCAGGGCAGGAAUGCAGCAGCACUAAGUAGGACCGUUCAUCUGACGCGGGGU
Molecule: signal recognition particle RNA, 85 nt
Filed under: uncultured Pseudobutyrivibrio sp.
Lineage: Bacteria; Bacillati; Bacillota; Clostridia; Lachnospirales; Lachnospiraceae
Description: Bacterial small signal recognition particle RNA
Rfam family: Bacterial small signal recognition particle RNA
About the family: The signal recognition particle (SRP) is a universally conserved ribonucleoprotein involved in the co-translational targeting of proteins to membranes.
Source: RNAcentral